RNAcentral lists this ribosomal RNA (203 nucleotides) under uncultured phototrophic eukaryote. Its description in RNAcentral is "partial 16S ribosomal RNA". It matches the Rfam family "Bacterial small subunit ribosomal RNA", at positions 604 to 806 of the family's 1533-position model. The record is from RNAcentral.
AGGGCCUAACCCUGGGAAAGCAGUGGAAACUAGUAGGCUUGAGUGUGGUAGAGGUAGAGGGAAUUCCUGGUGUAGCGGUGAAAUGCGUAGAUAUUAGGAAGAACACCAACGGCGAAAGCACUCUACUGGGCCAUAACUGACACUGAGAGACGACAGCUAGGGGAGCAAAUGGGAUUAGAUACCCCAGUAGUCCUAGCCGUAAA